This 500-nucleotide ribosomal RNA is filed under the name uncultured bacterium. RNAcentral's name for it is "partial 16S ribosomal RNA". It matches the Rfam family "Bacterial small subunit ribosomal RNA", at positions 30 to 523 of the family's 1533-position model. The record is from RNAcentral.
AUUGAACGCUGGCGGCAUGCUUUACACAUGCAAGUCGAACGGUAACAGGGAGCUUGCUCCGCUGACGAGUGGCGAACGGGUGAGUAAUAUAUCGGAACGUACCCAAGAGUGGGGGAUAACGUAGCGAAAGUUACGCUAAUACCGCAUACGAUCUACGGAUGAAAGUGGGGGAUCGCAAGACCUUAUGCUCCUGGAGCGGCCGAUAUCUGAUUAGCUAGUUGGUGAGGUAAAGGCUCACCAAGGCGACGAUCAGUAGCUGGUCUGAGAGGACGACCAGCCACACUGGGACUGAGACACGGUCCAGACUCCUACGGGAGGCAGCAGUGGGGAAUUUUGGACAAUGGGCGCAAGCCUGAUCCAGCGAUGCCGCGUGAGUGAAGAAGGCCUUCGGGUUGUAAAGCUCUUUUGUCAGGGAAGAAACGGGAGUGGCUAAUAUCCAUUCCUAAUGACGGUACCUGAAGAAUAAGCACCGGCUAACUACGUGCCAGCCGCCGCCGUAA